CCCUUUCUAUUGAUUUACACUUAGGUACAUUUAAUUCCAAACCUUGGAGAUGGCUGACAGGGUCAUUCAAUGGAGCUUUUGUAGUGAAGAAGCCAUUAAGGAAGUGGAGAGGCUGGAGCCAUGCAAUUUCCAUUCGGAUGAAGAAUCAAAGACUAAUUUUAUUCAGAGAGCGAAGUCGUGCCAAGUGCUUAGCAGGGCACAGGCCAGAGUCAUCGCUUCAGCAUAAGGAGCCUGGCGUUUGGGAUGUGAGCAGUUUAGGAGUACAGGUGAACCCUGAUCUGGCCCCCACAGCAGGGACGCUCUGCGCCUGGUCAUCGGUUGCCUGGCGUGGAGAUGAGACGGUGAUGGAGAAAGGCCGUCGCUGGAGCAGGAGGGGACCUCACUGCCCAGGGGUGAGAUACCAGCAUAAUCACGCAAUAUCUAGAUUAAUACAAACCUAAAGUCUCUUCAAGGUACUUUCAUUGGAAAGUUUUCCAAUUUCGUUUCACCUUGGAGGUGAUGUCUCAUCCAAGUUUGGUUUUGUUUUCAGAUGUAUUUCCCUGCUCUGUGAGCUUCACGGAAUGACUUCACAUUAGGGGAGGCUGUAAGGUGCCCUGUGCGCCAGGCCCUCAUAAGCGCUCCCAGGGCUGCCUGCUCUGCAGGACCACAGCGUCGCUGUGCCCAGCUUGGGGUGGGCUCCUGUGCCCCUGCGUGGGUGCCCGCCUCACCUCCACACGGCCAGCUCUUCUCUGCCUGCGUGUGUGGAGUAGAGAAAGGGAGAGGAGGCAGGAGGGGCUCCGGAGGGCAAGGGGCACAGAGCAGGCUGCGGACAGGAGGAGGAGACCCCCAGGGGCCCGCAGCGGGCGUGGUGGGGGCCGCCAUGCUCUUAGUUCAUGUCCCCCAGGAAACUCACAAAUCGAAAUGCUCAGCCCCACCUGAUGGUGUUCGGAGGUGGGUCCUUUGGGAGGCGAUCAGUUCAGAUGGUCGUGAAGGUAGGUCCCCGCGAAUGUGAUUUGUGCCCUUACCAAAGAGGCCCAGAGAGCUCCCUCACCCCUCCACCAUGUGAGGAAGCAGUGAGAAGGCCCGGUCCACAAACCGGGACGCCCUCUCCCGUCGCCAAAUCCGCUGGCGCCUUGAUGCCUGACUGGCAGCCUCCAAAACUGUGAGAAACACGUUUUUGUUCCAAGCCAGCCAGUGUAGAGUAUUUUGUGACAGCAGCCUAAAGGGAC
This 1208-nucleotide long non-coding RNA is filed under the name Piliocolobus tephrosceles (Ugandan red Colobus). RNAcentral describes it as "lncRNA (ENSPTEG00000032687.1)". Lineage: Eukaryota; Metazoa; Chordata; Mammalia; Primates; Cercopithecidae. The record is from RNAcentral.